GUGGCUCAUUAAGUCACAUGUGAAAUCCCCGGGCUUAACCUGGGAACUGCAUGUGAUACUGGUGGUGCUAGAAUAUGUGAGAGGGAAGUAGAAUUCCAGGUGUAGCGGUGAAAUGCGUAGAGAUCUGGAGGAAUACCGAUGGCGAAGGCAGCUUCCUGGCAUAAUAUUGACACUGAGAUUCGAAAGCGUGGGUAGCAAACAGGAUUAGAUACCCUGGUAGUCCACGCCGUAAACGAUGUCUACUAGCCGUUGGGGUCCUUGAGACUUUAGUGGCGCAGUUAACGCGAUAAGUAGACCGCCUGGGGAGUACGGCCGCAAGGUUAAAACUCAAAUGAAUUGACGGGGGCCCGCACAAGCGGUGGAGCAUGUGGUUUAAUUCGAUGCAACGCGAAGAACCUUACCUGGUCUUGACAUAGUGAGAAUCUUUCAGAGAUGAGAGAGUGCCUUCGGGAAUUCACAUACAGGUGCUGCAUGGCUGUCGUCAGCUCGUGUCGUGAGAUGUUGGGUUAAGUCCCGCAACGAGCGCAACCCUUUUCCUUAUUUGCCAGCGGGUUAAGCCGGGAACUUUAAGGAUACUGCCAGUGACAAACUGGAGGAAGGCGGGGACGACGUCAAGUCAUCAUGGCCCUUACGACCAGGGCUACACACGUGCUACAAUGGUAGGUACAGAGGGUUGCUACACAGCGAUGUGAUGCUAAUCUCAAAAAGCCUAUCGUAGUCCGGAUUGGAGUCUGCAACUCGACUCCAUGAAGUCGGA
Molecule: ribosomal RNA, 757 nt
Filed under: uncultured bacterium
Lineage: Bacteria
Description: bacterial SSU rRNA
Rfam family: Bacterial small subunit ribosomal RNA
Source: RNAcentral